Molecule: long non-coding RNA, 5424 nt
Filed under: Theobroma cacao (cacao)
Lineage: Eukaryota; Viridiplantae; Streptophyta; Magnoliopsida; Malvales; Malvaceae
Description: long non-coding RNA (TCAC_LNC005615)
Source: RNAcentral
AUAAUCAUCCAAGAGCUUUGUAAUUUCCACGGUGAGCACCCUAUCCCAUCUCAUCCAGCCAACCAUUGUAAUGGCUUCAAUGGUACUUGGUAAGGUGUUGAGCGAGUCAUAGUAAUGAAGUUUUAUGCUGGCAAUUCUCUUGACUAUAAGCUACGCAACCUAAAUACAUAGGCUUAUGCAAAAAGCUCAUGGUUACAAGCACUUUCUUAUAUGGCUUAUACAAAAUUACAUAGGCUUACCAAUUGAGGAGAGCAUCAGGUCUGUCUCGUUCCCCAACUUCAGGUAUAUUGAUUUCAACUUUCAACUUCCAAGUUCCAACAUCGUUGCUUUUACUUGUAGAAGUGUUCCUACCUUGUAUUAUGGUGGACUGGGAAUAAGGGAUAAGGUUUAAGUUAGCAAUCGGGGUUCAACUGAAUUAACAAUCAGGUUAGAUCUCAAAAUAGGUUUGGAUUUAGGCAUUUAUGCCAUAAUACAGCAAAACACUUAUAAUUUCAUUCAUCAAGUAUUUACUAAAAAUGAAGAUUACAUAAAUAUUUAUAAAGAUUGCUAGAUACUUCUAAACCAACUACAACCAGGGUCAACAAUAAGAAACUAACUUGAAACCCCUAGUAAGCAACCAACUUGGACCCCAGAAUGAGAAAACCUAAAUUCCUUGAAUAAUGUUAAAAUAAAAUAAAAUAAACAAUGCAAAACUAAAUUACACAAGAACAAGUAAUGAAUGAGGAUCCUUGAUGACUGCAUCAACAGUUUUCCCAUGGUUCCACUUUAAACUCUCCAUACUGCAUCCAUAGGUUUCCCACGGUUCCACUUUUAAACUCUCCAUAUACUUUUCUGGUGACCGAUUUACUUACCAACAGACUGGUCUUGUCUCUCUUUAACAUUAACACCAGUAGAGGUAGGGUGGCGCUUGAUCUUUCGCAAAGCUCUUUCUGUGUUGUACACUUCAACCUACAUUGAUUUAUGAUGAAACUCAAUUGCGGAGCAAAUAAUACAAGCUUUAAUAGGUAAAGUACUAUUUGUAACAAGCAAUUUGACAGAUGAAAUGAAGGAUAAUGGAAAUUUUACAUAAAGAAAUGAAAUAAGACAUACUCGCCAGUUUCUAAAGUUGUUUCCCUAAGCAAAUGAUACCAUAAAAUGUCAUAUAGCUGCAUGAUAACAACUAGAAUUUUAGGGAAGAAGUGGAAGAACUUUGUUCUAGGUUGAAUAUCAAUACAAAGCUUCAUUCUAGGGAAGAAGUAGAAUUUGGCUAACCAUAUAAUAUAGGACUGCUUUUCUUUUCCUGUUUCUGAAUUAGUUAGGUUACAACACAAUUUUUUUUUCUGUUUAGUAGUUGGAGACAAGCAGCAAAGUAGUCAGUGUCAUGAGUCUGAGAGAACUAGUAUACUGGAUUUUUUUGUGCUUCAGUUAUCUGUUUUAACAACCAAAUCUACCAAGAAUUUCAAAAUCAAAGAGCUUAUAAUUUAUACAAAGUUCUCCACUUUCAAAGGUUAUCCUUUGUCAUUUAGUUUCAUAUUACAUCACUGCAUGUUAUCAAAAUUUCAAAGUUUUCUUUCUCCCUUCACAUUUAGCACUUUAGUACAACCAAUUAUAUUUCAGACACCCAACUAUAGAUUUGUAAAGAAAUCUUUAUACCAUGACAAGAAAAUAAAUUAAGUAGCUAAGAAGAAGUCAGGUCCUUCAAGUUUAAGAAAACUAUUUUGAAGAUAAUAUUCUUACGGCUUCUUUAAUUUGCUUUGUUAUUCCCGCAGCCUUUGCCGUAGCAAGCUGCAAACAUUGCAUGAUAACUCUUUGAGGGACACCUUCUCCACCAGCCUUUUGAAUUGCACAAAUAUCACCAUUUGCGUUAACUGUUGUAGUCAUUCGUCCACCCAUAACAGCUUCCUCAUUGUGGGUUGGAUCUAUUACCUGAAUUUCAUCACAUUUAAAGAGACCACAACUUUGGCUGUGAACAAGAUGUGUUAAUCAAAUGUAGUUAGAAUAUCCUGAUGUCAAAAAUUAACUUACCAGAAUGCUAUCAUUACUAAAAAACCCAAAGGUUAUCGCAAUUGGAAGAUGAUGCACAAUCAAAGGAAGAGGCUCCCUUAUCUGUCAAAAGAGAAGAUAUUUUCAACUACCAUAAUUACACAUUCGAUGGAGUCAAAAUGAGAAGUGUGUUCAAUAUGAUGGGAGACAAGAGGAAUAGGAAUGGUAAGAAAGAAGUGGAAAAAGUGAUUAAAAGUGGUAUUCAAGUUUUCAAUAGUUCCAUAACAAGGUUAAGGAGAAAAAAUAAGAUGAUUGUACCAUAACAGAACCAUGAUUCUUAUUAAAAAUCAUAAGUUUAAGGAAAAUUCACAAUAUUAUGAGUAUUUCUUUGCAUUAGUUAUAUUCUCUCUCUUUGAUUUUAUUUCUUUUUCCCUCCACUUUUGUAGAUACUUGAAAACAGAUUGGAAGAAAAUGUUAAAAGACAAUAAUUCUCUUCUUUUUUUUUCUCUCCUGAUUUAAGUAACUAAACAAGAGAAACUUUAAUAUUCUCUCCAGCCAAUCACAAUGUAACAGUUGUAAUUCACACCGCCACAUCACACCCAACUACCCCCCCCCCCCCCCCCUCCCCCUCUCGGCAUCCAUACUCUUCUAAGGGAAAGGAAGUGCAAAACACAGGGAGGGAAGAAACCCCAGUAGCAAAGACAGUAGAUAUGUCAAUUGGCUUUUAAAGGGCCAUCCAAUUAAGUAGGUUGAUUGCAUUACAAGCCUGAACUACAGCAACAACCCUGAAAGAGACACAGAAGUAACAGAAAGACCAAAAUCUAUUAUCACUCAGCUUUUACACAACAUUAUAGCCGCUAUUUAAAAUUAGGAUAAGCAAGAGACUCCACAAGCCAAUUUCCCCCACGAGGUAAAAACAAGUCAAGUGAAUUCUAAGUAGAACGAACAUCAAACAUCACCAAUUGUUCAAAAUUAUCAAUUUCUGGUACCUCUGUUAAAACAAAAAGAAGAAGAAUAAAAAUACAAAACAAAAACAAAAAGGAAAGCAUAUCAUUCAUAUCUAUUUACUUUACAUGUAAUCAUGGCUGUUUGACUCAUUGCAUUAGGCAUACAGUUUAAUGUUGCGCGGUAAUCAUAGAAAAUUGUAGUCACAAGUUGAACCUUGAGUUGGAUGAGAAACUUUUUUUAUUAGUUAGAUAAGGAACUUAAAGACCUAAACAGCAUCAGUCAUGAAGCCUAGGUCAACAACCCACUAAUCAAUUGACUCCAAAACAUGAUUGAAUUGAUCCUUGCCAGUUUAUUCAGAUUUGAUGAACAUACUUCUUGUUGUUAAGUAGCAAAAUGUAAAGAAAGUAAAAUAAAGUUUCUUCUUGAUGAUGCUCAGGAUUCAUAUUCUUAAGCACAAUAUUCACCUAGUUGUAAGAGCAUUGAAUGUAAGUGUCAAAACUCACUAGAUGAUUCCCAUCUUAACAGUAGUGCUUUUAAAAGGUAAUAUUAAAAGCCAAAACAGUUAGGAAUCUGACCUCAGGUGGAUGUACUAUUACUUCCUGACCAUCUUCUCCUCCUAAUGAGCAUUCAGGCCUCCGGAAUGUCAGUAGAGCAGCCAAAGCAGCAAUAUUAGCAGCAUCAACAAGGUUUCUGUUUCCACAAAAAAUAUAUUAGUUCCAACUGAAAAUGAACGUCUAACAUUAGCAGUGAAAAAAGUUAUGGAAUGAUAUAAAGUAUAGGAAAAUAAAAGCAUAGAAAGAUUGCAGUAGUACCCUCCAUUAUCUAGAAUGUGGAGAUCAAUACGAAUAGCCCACACAAACUUGCCAGCUAGAACACACAGUGAUUCAGUAUCCACAGCCUUGCUUUCCCUGUAAGAUCACUCUAAACCUUCAAUUACCUUUAUUUCAAUAAGAACAGCACAGUGACAAACCAGAAAGUAAGUUCCACCACAUUCCCAAAAGCUUAUUAAAGCUCACUUUAACCAAGAAAAAUCUCAAUCAUUAGCAAAAUAGCAAUCAUGAAAGAAAAUGCACUUGAGAGCAAAGAAAGAAAAUACAUGUUCAUUAGGUGACAUCUAAUUUAAUAGAACAGUAACAUAUUACUGAAGAAUCAAGCUUAUAACAACAAAAGAAAAACUCACACACUAUAAGCCCUAUACAUUCGAGGAAAAAGGAAAGACAGCGGGUUGGAGGAGUAAAGCUGACAAACUUCAGCUUCAAUCAAAUCUUUCAAAAGAUAACAAAAGUACCUUAGACCACGAUCAAUUAUACGUCCCAACUCCACAGCCAAUUCUCCAGGAUGGCCUGGCUCAAAUGAAGGAUCAGCCAUUGGAGAAACCUCGGUGAAGAUCGAAAGUAUCCCUUCCUUAGGUCGGUCUCUAUAAGGCUGAACCAGUUGAGCAGUAACAAUGCCCAUAACACGAGUCUGGCCUAGCUGCACCUCUGAUGAGCCAUCCUCUCUGCAAAUUCACCAUAGCAAUUAAACAGUCGAUUUUACCAACAUAUCCACCAAGCAAGCUACUUAUAGUAACCUAAAAGAGGGAAUUAAAAAAUAUAUUAAUUUAUAAUUUAAUAUCAUCAGACAAUGCAAAACAAUUUUUGUUUCAACUAGAAGAACAGCAUCAAACGUGAUCCUCCAAUUCCUAAACCAGAAAUUGCACAAAGAACAGGGAUAUAAAGACAUCUCACCUAAAUAGGUACAAACAUUGGUUCGAACCAAGACAUCCAAUUAUUCACAUACACAUACAUUUUCUUACAUUCAUGCAAGCAUGCAUACACAUACAAAUACUAUUAAGGGAUGUUAACCCACAUCCAUUAAGUUUAGAAUUUGUUGUGGCCUCAUGUUCAGGCACAGCUUCUCCACCAAUUUGCCCAUUAGUUUUAGCUUAACAUGGUAUUAGAGGCUAGGUUAUUUGUCACCCUGUUUCAUACUCUAUUAUGUUAUUUGUUGCACGCAUUGUCCACAUCUUAGGCUCGUCUACUUCAAUUUUAAGUAUUAGCCUACACGUGAGGGGAGUGGUGUUAUCCAAUGGUAAUUAAGUUUAGAGUUAGUUGUGGUCUUAUGUUCGGGUUGAGCAAUCUCCACGGAAAUAGAUUUUAGGUUGAUUACACAAUACAAAAGUCAUAGACUGCAAGUGCAAACAACCCAAGCUUCGAAUUAAGCAAUUUUAAUACAACAGCGUUAGACAGAGUAAUUAUAAGCUGAAAAAGAAAGAAACCCAUUACUGCAAAUAGCCAAAUGCAUAUAAGUUGGUUUUUAUAUACGUACAUUGAAUAAUGCUAAACUUGCCUGCCAAACUUGACAACAAUCUUACGGUAUUCAUAGGGCUUUCGUCCAUCGAUUCGAAUUUCAGAAAGCAAAGCAGUUCUGAUGAAACUCUUGUCGUUCGCUGUCAACCGCCACGCAUUCGCCAAUCUACCUUCCAUUCUUUCUCAGUUCCACUGCAACAAUUGCUCCGAUGCAUUCUCUUAGCCG